GAUGUACAAACAGAACGGAGCUGACGGGAGAGCUAGCGAUCGCAAAGUUAGCAGAAGUAUUCACAUGUGACUACGUUCGGUUUUCAAAAUAAGGUGUUAACAAAGGGAACUGUAUAUACAAAAUACAUAUGGAAAUAAGAUUGGCUGGAUUAUAUUCACCAGAAGAAUAAAACAUUACAUGUCCCUU
This is a long non-coding RNA of Sebastes umbrosus (honeycomb rockfish), 187 nucleotides long. RefSeq lists it as uncharacterized. The transcript is spliced from 3 exons. The record is from RefSeq and is a predicted model, not a curated record. NCBI's taxonomy places the organism in Eukaryota, Metazoa, Chordata, Actinopteri, Perciformes, Sebastidae.